This 602-nucleotide ribosomal RNA is filed under the name uncultured archaeon. Its description in RNAcentral is "bacterial SSU rRNA". It matches the Rfam family "Archaeal small subunit ribosomal RNA", at positions 112 to 715 of the family's 1478-position model. The record is from RNAcentral.
ACCUAUGGACGGGGAUAACCUCGGGAAACUGAGGAUAAACCCCGAUAGAUCAUUAUGCCUGGAACGGUUUAUGGUCCAAACGAUUCGUCGCCAUAGGAUGAGACUGCGGCCUAUCAGCUUGUUGGUGAGGUAAUGGCCCACCAAGGCUAUUACAGGUACGGGCUCUGAGAGGAGAAGCCCGGAGAUGGGUACUGAGACACGGACCCAGGCCCUAUGGGGCGCAGCAGGCGAGAAACCUUUGCAAUGUGCGCAAGCACGACAAGGUUAAUCCGAGUGUUUCCUGCUAAAGGAAUCUUUUGCUAGUCCUAAAAACACUAGUGAAUAAGGGGUGGGCAAGUUCUGGUGUCAGCCGCCGCGGUAAAACCAGCACCUCAAGUUGUCAGGAGGAUUAUUGGGCCUAAAGCAUCCGUAGCCUGCUCUGUAAGUUUCCGGUUAAAUCCAUUAGCUCAACUAAUGGGCUGCCGGAAAAACUGCAAAGCUAGGAAGUGGGAGAGGUAGACGGUACUCGGUAGGAAGGGGUAAAAUCCUUUGAUCUAUUGAUGACCACCAGUGGCGAAGGCGGUCUACCAGAACACGUUCGACGGUGAGGGAUGAAAGCUGGG